UAGUCAUACGCUUGUCUUAAGGAUUAAGCCAUGCAUGUCUAAGUGCGGUGUACUCAAACACGCCAGACUGCGGACGGCUCAUUAUAACAGUUAUAGUUUAUUUGAUGGUUCUUCUUACGUGGAUAACCGUAGUAAUUCUAGAGCUAAUACAUGCACGAAGGGGCGACUCACGGAGCCCUGUAUUUAUUAGAUUAAAGCCAACCACCUCCGGGUGUUCGUGGUGAAUCAUAGUAACUUCUCGGAUCGCCGGCCCUGCGCCAGCGACGUGUCAUUCAAAUUUCUGCCCUAUCAGCUUUAGAUGGUAGGAUAUGGGCCUACCAUGGCGGUGACGGGUAACGGAGAAUUAGGGUUCGAUUCCGGAGAGGGAGCCUGAGAAACGGCUACCACUUCUAAGGAAGGCAGCAGGCGCGCAAAUUACCCAAUCCUGACUCAGGGAGGUAGUGACAAGAAAUAACAAUAAACCGGCUUAUGCCGGUUUAAUUGGAAUGAGUACAAUUUAAACAUCUUAACGAGGAACAAUUGGAGGGCAAGUCUGGUGCCAGCAGCCGCGGUAAUUCCAGCUCCAAUAGCGUAUACUAAAGUUGUUGCAGUUAAAAAGCUCGUAGUUGGAUUUCUGCGGGGACGGAGCGGCCGGACGCAACUUGCGUCUCGAGCUAGCGCUUUCCCCGCAUCCUGCCGCGAACCGUGCUACCAUUAGUUUGGUGGCGCUGGGGAUCGGCUCGAUUACUUUGAGAAAAAUAGAGUGUUCAAAGCAGGCCACACGCCUUGAAUAAGUUAGCAUGGAAUAAUGACUAAGGACUUCGGUUCUAUUUUGUUGGUGUUCGGGACUGAAGUAAUGAUUGAUAGGGACAGUUGGGGCGGUCUGUAUUCCUAAGCGAGAGGUGAAAUUCUUAGACCUUCGGAAGACAAACAGCUGCGAAAGCGUCCCGCAAGGAUGUCCCCUUUGAUCAAGACGAAAAGUUGGGGGAUCGAAGACGACCAGAUACCGUCGUAGUCUCAACUAUAAACUAUACCAGCUAGGGAUCGGUCAACGUUUAAUUAUUCGACUUGAUCGGCACCUUAUGAGAAAUCAAAGCAUCUGGGUUCCGGGGGGAGUAUGGUCGCAAGGCUGAAACUUAAAGGAAUUGACGGAAGGGCACCACCAGCCGUGGAGCCUGUGGCUUAAUUUGACUCAACACGGGAAAACUUACCAGGUCCAGACAUAGUAAGGAUUGACAGAUUGAUAGCUCUUUCUUGAUUCUGUGGGUGGUGGUGCAUGGCCGUUCUUAGUUGGUGGAGUGAUUUGUCUGGUUAAUUCCGUUAACGAACGAGACCCCAGCCUGCUAAAUAGCGCGGCUGAGCUUUGCUCGGUGCGAGCUUCUUAGAGGGACUAUGAUGCGCGAUAGCACAUGGAAGUUUGGGGCAAUAACAGGUCUGUGAUGCCCUUAGAUGUUCUGGGCCGCACACGGGCUACACUGGCGCCUGCAACGAGCAUAUCAGCUGGCCCGAGAGGGUCUUGGCUAAUCUUUUGAACCGGCGCCGUGCUUGGGAUUGACCUUUGCAAUUGUUGGUCAUGCAACGAGGAAUGCCUUGUAAACGCGAGUCAUCAGCUCGCAUUGAAUACGUCCCUGCCCUUUGUACACACCGCCCGUCGCUCCUACCGAUGAAUGUUCCGAUGAAAUUUUCGGAGAGCGCCAGAGAACGGGGCUCUGCCUUGCAGAUCUGGAGGCUCAAAGUCACUUAAAUCUGAACAUUUCGAGGAAGGAGAAGUCGUAACAAGGUUUCCGUAG
Molecule: ribosomal RNA, 1769 nt
Filed under: uncultured eukaryote
Lineage: Eukaryota
Description: SSU rRNA
Rfam family: Eukaryotic small subunit ribosomal RNA
Source: RNAcentral